This 441-nucleotide ribosomal RNA is filed under the name uncultured bacterium. RNAcentral's name for it is "partial 16S ribosomal RNA". It matches the Rfam family "Bacterial small subunit ribosomal RNA", at positions 339 to 795 of the family's 1533-position model. The record is from RNAcentral.
CUACGGGCCGCAGCAGUGGGGAAUAUUGGACAAUGGACCAAAAGUCUGAUCCAGCAAUUCUGUGUGCACGAUGAAGGUUUUCGGAUCGUAAAGUGCUUUCAACAGGGAAGAAGUUCUGACGGUACCUGUAGAAGAAGUGACGGCUAAAUACGUGCCAGCAGCCGCGGUAAUACGUAUGUCACAAGCGUUAUCCGGAAUUAUUGGGCAUAAAGGGCAUCUAGGCGGCUUGGUAAGUCUGAUGUGAAAAUGCGGGGCUCAACCCCGUAUUGCGUUGGAUACUGCUAGGCUAGAGUAUUGGAGAGGUAGGCGGAACUACAUGUGUAGAGGUGAAAUUCGUAGAUAUAUGUAGGAAUGCCGAUGACGAAGGUAGCUUACUGGACAAUUACUGACGCUGAAGUGCGAAAGCUAGGGGAGCAAACAGGAUUAGAUACCCCGGUAGUC